RNAcentral lists this ribosomal RNA (478 nucleotides) under uncultured bacterium. Its description in RNAcentral is "partial 16S ribosomal RNA". It matches the Rfam family "Bacterial small subunit ribosomal RNA", at positions 36 to 507 of the family's 1533-position model. The record is from RNAcentral.
UCUUCCCUCUUUCUUCGUGCUUAACACAUGCAAGUCGAACGAGAAAUGUAGACGGAAACCUUCGGGCGGAAGCCUUCAUUUCGAGUGGCGGACGGGUGAGUAACGCGUGGGUAACCUGCCUCAUACAGGGGGAUAACAGUUGGAAACGACUGUUAAUACCGCAUAAGACCACAGCAUCGCAUGAUGCGGGGGUAAAAACUCCGGUGGUAUGAGAUGGACCCGCGUUCGAUUAGCCAGUUGGCGGGGUAACGGCCCACCAAAGCGACGAUCGAUAGCCGAUCUGAGAGGAUGACCGGCCACAUUGGGACUGAGACACGGCCCAAACUCCUACGGGAGGCAGCAGUGGGGAAUAUUGCAAAAUGGGGGAAACCCUGAUGCAGCGACGCCGCGUGAGUGAAGAAGUACUUCGGUAUGUAAAGCUCUAUAAGCAGGGAAGAAAAUGACGGUACCUGAGUAAGAAGCCCCGGCUAACUACGUG